Small nuclear RNA from Pteropus vampyrus (large flying fox), 114 nucleotides. Its record names the gene U5. It matches the Rfam family "U5 spliceosomal RNA". Rfam says of the family: U5 RNA is a component of both types of known spliceosome. The record is from Ensembl. NCBI's taxonomy places the organism in Eukaryota, Metazoa, Chordata, Mammalia, Chiroptera, Pteropodidae.
CACUCUUGUUUCUUUUCAGAAUGGUAAAAGUUUUUUACUUUUUACUAAAGAUUUCCAUGGAGAGAAAUCUUGGAGAAUUGGUGAGUUAUUUGAGACCUUGCUUGGGUAAAGCUC